CCUACGGGAGGCAGCAGUGAGGAAUAUUGGUCAAUGGCCGUAAGGCUGAACCAGCCAAGUCGCGUGAAGGAAGAAGGAUCUAUGGUUUGUAAACUUCUUUUAUAUGGGAAUAAAAUGUUCCACGUGUGGGUUUUUGUAUGUACCAUAUGAAUAAGGAUCGGCUAACUCCGUGCCAGCAGCCGCGGUAAUACGGAGGAUCCGAGCGUUAUCCGGAUUUAUUGGGUUUAAAGGGAGCGUAGGUGGAUUGUUAAGUCAGUUGUGAAAGUUUGCGGCUCAACCGUAAAAUUGCAGUUGAAACUGGCAGUCUUGAGUACAGUAGAGGUGGGCGGAAUGCGUGGUGUAGCGGUGAAAUGCUUAGAUAUCACGAAGAACUCCGAUUGCGAAGGCAGCUCACUGGACUGCAACUGACACUGAGGCUCGAAAGUGUGGGUAUCAAACAGGAUUAGAUACCCCUGUAGUC
This 460-nucleotide ribosomal RNA is filed under the name uncultured bacterium. RNAcentral's name for it is "partial 16S ribosomal RNA". It matches the Rfam family "Bacterial small subunit ribosomal RNA", at positions 338 to 795 of the family's 1533-position model. The record is from RNAcentral.